CCUACGGGAGGCUGCAGUGAGGAAUAUUGGUCAAUGGACGCAAGUCUGAACCAGCCAUGCCGCGUGCAGGAAGACGGCUCUAUGAGUUGUAAACUGCUUUUGUACGAGGGUAAACGCAGAUACGCGUAUCUGUCUGAAAGUAUCGUACGAAUAAGGAUCGGCUAACUCAGUGCCAGCAGCCGCGGUAAUACGGAGGAUUCAAGCGUUAGCCGGAUUUAGUGGGUUUAAAGGGUGCGUAGGCGGUCGGAGAAGGUAGAGGGGAAAUCCCGAGGCUCAACUUCGGAAUUGCUUCUGAUACUGUUCGGCUAGAGAGUAGUUGCGGUAGGUGGAAUGUAUGGUGUAGCGGUGAAAUGCUUAGAGAUCAUACAGAACACCGAUUGCGAAGGCAGCUUACCAAGCUACUUCUGACGCUGAAGCACGAAGGCGUGGGUAUCGAACAGGAUUAGAUACCCUGGUAGUC
This 460-nucleotide ribosomal RNA is filed under the name uncultured bacterium. Its description in RNAcentral is "partial 16S ribosomal RNA". It matches the Rfam family "Bacterial small subunit ribosomal RNA", at positions 338 to 795 of the family's 1533-position model. The record is from RNAcentral.